AGCAACCUGGCCCCUGAACUCUGGGAUAAGCCCGGGAAACUGGGUCUAAUACCGGAUACGACCGCCUCCGGCAUCGGGUGGUGGUGGAAAGUUUUUCGGUUGGGGAUGGGCUCGCGGCCUAUCAGCUUGUUGGUGGGGUAGUGGCCUACCAAGGCGACGACGGGUAGCCGGCCUGAGAGGGCGACCGGCCACACUGGGACUGAGACACGGCCCAGACUCCUACGGGAGGCAGCAGUGGGGAAUAUUGCGCAAUGGGCGGAAGCCUGACGCAGCGACGCCGCGUGGGGGAUGACGGCCUUCGGGUUGUAAACCUCUUUCAGCAGGGACGAAGUUGACGUGUACCUGCAGAAGAAGCGCCGGCUAACUACGUGCCAGCAGCCGCGGUAAUACGUAGGGCGCAAGCGUUGUCCGGAAUUAUUGGGCGUAAAGAGCUCGUAGGUGGCUGGUCGCGUCUGCCGUGAAAGCCCGCAGCUUAACUGCGGGUCUGCGGUGGAUACGGGCCGGCUAGAGGUAGGUAGGGGCAAGUGGAAUUCCUGGUGUAGCGGUGAAAUGCGCAGAUAUCAGGAGGAACACCGGUGGCGAAGGCGGCUUGCUGGGCCUUACCUGACGCUGAGGAGCGAAAGCUGGGGG
RNAcentral lists this ribosomal RNA (630 nucleotides) under Nonomuraea sp. CAP 329. Its description in RNAcentral is "bacterial SSU rRNA". It matches the Rfam family "Bacterial small subunit ribosomal RNA", at positions 120 to 766 of the family's 1533-position model. The record is from RNAcentral. Lineage: Bacteria; Bacillati; Actinomycetota; Actinomycetes; Streptosporangiales; Streptosporangiaceae.